GAUGAACGCUAGCGACAGGCCUAACACAUGCAAGUCGAGGGGCAGCAUGGUAUCAGCUUGCUGAUACCGAUGGCGACCGGCGCACGGGUGAGUAACGCGUAUGUAAUCUGCCUGUAACAGAGGGAUAACCCGGAGAAAUCCGGCCUAAUACCUCAUAGCACAUAUUAUUCGCAUGAGUUUUAUGUUAAAGAGACUCGGUUACAGAUGAACAUGCGUUCCAUUAGCUGGUUGGCGGGGUAACGGCCCACCAAGGCAACGAUGGAUAGGGGUUCUGAGAGGAAGGUCCCCCGACACUGGUACUGAGACACGGACCAGACUCCUACGGGAGGCAGCAGUGGGGGAUAUUGCGCAAUGGGGGAAACCCUGACGCAGCAACGCCGCGUGAAGGAUGAA
This 393-nucleotide ribosomal RNA is filed under the name uncultured bacterium. Its description in RNAcentral is "bacterial SSU rRNA". It matches the Rfam family "Bacterial small subunit ribosomal RNA", at positions 28 to 412 of the family's 1533-position model. The record is from RNAcentral.